This 324-nucleotide ribosomal RNA is filed under the name uncultured eukaryote. Its description in RNAcentral is "partial 18S ribosomal RNA". It matches the Rfam family "Eukaryotic small subunit ribosomal RNA", at positions 1470 to 1796 of the family's 1831-position model. The record is from RNAcentral.
CCCUUAGAUGUCCUGGGCUGCACGCGCGCUACACUGAUGUGUCCAGUAAGCACCUAACCUCUUCCGAAAGGAACGGGUAACCUUUGCAAAGCACAUCGUGAUGGGGAUAGAUUAUUGCAAUUAUUAGUCUUGAACGAGGAAUUCCUAGUAAGCACAAGUCAUCAGCUUGUGUUGAUUACGUCCCUGCCCUUUGUACACACCGCCCGUCGCUCCUACCGAUUGAAUGUUCCGGUGAGCUCUUCGGACUGCGCGGUCUGCAGUUUCUGCGUUCCGUGCGGAAAGUUACGCAAACCUUAACAUUUAGAGGAAGGAGAAGUCGUAACA